This 517-nucleotide ribosomal RNA is filed under the name uncultured Actinomycetes bacterium. RNAcentral describes it as "bacterial SSU rRNA". It matches the Rfam family "Bacterial small subunit ribosomal RNA", at positions 926 to 1444 of the family's 1533-position model. Lineage: Bacteria; Bacillati; Actinomycetota; Actinomycetes. The record is from RNAcentral.
CAAGCAGCGGAGCAUGCGGCUUAAUUCGAUGCAACGCGAAGAACCUUACCUAGACUUGACAUAUACGGAAAACAUGCAGAGAUGUAUGGUCCUAACGGGCCGUUUACAGGUGGUGCAUGGUUGUCGUCAGCUCGUGUCGUGAGAUGUUGGGUUAAGUCCCGCAACGAGCGCAACCCUCGUUCUAUGUUGCCAGCACGUAAAGGUGGGGACUCAUAGGAGACUGCCGGGGUCAACUCGGAGGAAGGUGGGGAUGACGUCAAAUCAUCAUGCCCCUUAUGUCUAGGGCUGCACGCAUUCUACAAUGGCUGGUACAGAGGGCUGCGAUACCGCAAGGUGGAGCGAAUCCCAAAAAGCCAGUCUCAGUUCGGAUUGGGGUCUGCAACUCGACCCCAUGAAGUUGGGGUUGCUAGUAAUCGCAGAUCAGCAACGCUGCGGUGAAUACGUUCCCGGGCCUUGUACACACCGCCCGUCACGUCACGAAAGUCGGUAACACCCGAAGCCGGUGGCCUAACCGUAA